ACUUUCAGUCGUGAGGAAGGUGUUAAGAUUAAUAUUCUUAGCCAUUGACGUUAGCGACAGAAGAAGCACCGGCUAACUCCGUGCCAGCAGCCGCGGUAAUACGGAGGGUGCGAGCGUUAAUCGGAAUUACUGGGCGUAAAGGGCACGCAGGCGGUUAAUUAAGUUGGAUGUGAAAUCCCCGGGCUUAACCUGGGAAUGGCAUUCAAGACUGGUUAGCUAGAGUCUUGUAGAGGGGGGUAGAAUUCCAUGUGUAGCGGUGAAAUGCGUAGAGAUGUGGAGGAAUACCGGUGGCGAAGGCGGCCCCCUGGACAGAGACUGACGCUCAUGUGCGAAAGCGUGGGGAGCAAACAGGAUUAGAUACCCUGGUAGUCCACGCUGUAAACGAUGUCGAUUUGGAGGUUGUGGUCAUGAACUGUGGCCUCCGGAGCUAACGCGUUAAAUCGACCGCCUGGGGAGUACGGCCGCAAGGUUAAAACUCAAAUGAAUUGACGGGGGCCCGCACAAGCGGUGGAGCAUGUGGUUUAAUUCGAUGCAACGCGAAGAACCUUACCUACUCUUGACAUCCAGCGAAUCCUUUA
RNAcentral lists this ribosomal RNA (578 nucleotides) under Arsenophonus endosymbiont of Anoplolepis gracilipes. RNAcentral describes it as "bacterial SSU rRNA". It matches the Rfam family "Bacterial small subunit ribosomal RNA", at positions 432 to 1002 of the family's 1533-position model. Lineage: Bacteria; Pseudomonadati; Pseudomonadota; Gammaproteobacteria; Enterobacterales; Morganellaceae. The record is from RNAcentral.